GAUGAAGAACGCAGCGAAAUGCGAUACGUAAUGUGAAUUGCAGAAUUCAGUGAAUCAUCGAGUCUUUGAACGCACAUUGCGCCCCCUGGUAUUCCGGGGGGCAUGCCUAUCCGAGCGUCAUUGCUGCCCUCAAGCACGGCUUGUGUGUUGGGCCUCCGUCCUCCUCCCGGGGGACGGGCCCGAAAGGCAGCGGCGGCACCGCGUCCGGUCCUCGAGCGUAUGGGGCUUCGUCACCCGCUCUUGUAGGCCCGGCCGGCGCUUGCCGACACAUCAAUCUUUUUUCCAGGUUGACCUCGGAUCAGGUAGGGAUACCCGCUGAACUUAAGCAUAUCAAUAAGCGAGGA
RNAcentral lists this unclassified non-coding RNA (344 nucleotides) under soil metagenome. RNAcentral describes it as "partial contains 5.8S ribosomal RNA, internal transcribed spacer 2, and large subunit ribosomal RNA". The stretch from base 1 to 120 matches the Rfam family "5.8S ribosomal RNA", at positions 35 to 154 of the family's 154-position model. The record is from RNAcentral.